UCCUGUAAUUGGCACCGGUUCAAACCGGUGCCAACUUAAAAAAAAAAUAAAUAAAAAUAAAUUAAAAAAUGGUAUGGAAGAGAGUUGGCACCUGUUCACCUGUUCAAACCGGUGCCAUUUAUGACAAAAAAAACCGGGUUUCAAUUCCUUAAUAUAUAAUACUUCUUCGUUUUUCAGUAUUUCAUUCAAGCAGCUUCUUCGUUUUUCAUUCUCUCUACCUCUGAAAUAAUUGCAUGCUCUCCUUCCUAAUCUCUCAUCUUUCAUCUCGAUCUCUUCUCUCUCACCUCUAUUCUUCUUCUUUAAAUUGUCGUUCUUCUCUCAUCUCGUUCUGCUUCUUUGACCCCUCUAAUCUCUGUUCUUCUUUCUCCAACCAAGCACAACAACCAAGCUGUCGUCGUCAACCACAACAAACAUCGCCGCCGCCUUAAAUCUGGGUUUGAAGUUUCUGAUUUUUUAAUUUUCGGUUUGAAGGUCGUGAAUUUGCCGAGUAUGAAGUUCGAAGUUUCUGGGUUGUAAAUUGUAAAAUUACAAAUUCAGCAAUUUCUCUGUUUUUUUUUUAAUAAAUUGUAAAAUAACAAUUUAUUUGAUGAAUAUAGCCUUGUUCGAUUUCUUGUUUUGGAUUGUA
Long non-coding RNA from Chenopodium quinoa (quinoa), 625 nucleotides. RefSeq lists it as uncharacterized. The record is from RefSeq and is a predicted model, not a curated record. Lineage: Eukaryota; Viridiplantae; Streptophyta; Magnoliopsida; Caryophyllales; Amaranthaceae. The transcript has 2 exons.